Molecule: ribosomal RNA, 524 nt
Filed under: uncultured bacterium
Lineage: Bacteria
Description: bacterial SSU rRNA
Rfam family: Bacterial small subunit ribosomal RNA
Source: RNAcentral
UACGUAGGUGGCGAGCGUUGUCCGGAUUUACUGGGUGUAAAGGGAGCGUAGGCGGGUAUGCAAGUUGAAUGUGAAAUCUAUCGGCUCAACCGGUAGCUGCGUUCAAAACUGUGUAUCUUGAGUGAAGUAGAGGUAGGCGGAAUUCCUAGUGUAGCGGUGAAAUGCGUAGAUAUUAGGAGGAACACCAGUGGCGAAGGCGGCCUACUGGGCUUUUACUGACGCUGAGGCUCGAAAGCGUGGGUAGCAAACAGGAUUAGAUACCCUGGUAGUCCACGCCGUAAACGAUGAUUACUAGGUGUGGGGGGUCUGACCCCUUCCGUGCCGGAGUUAACACAAUAAGUAAUCCACCUGGGGAGUACGGCCGCAAGGUUGAAACUCAAAGGAAUUGACGGGGGCCCGCACAAGCAGUGGAGUAUGUGGUUUAAUUCGAAGCAACGCGAAGAACCUUACCAGGUCUUGACAUCGAGUGAAGAUACUAGAGAUAGUAUCGUCCUUCGGGACACGAAGACAGGUGGUGCAUGGUU